GGGUUGUGAGGUUAAGCGACUAAGCGUACACGGUGGAUGCCCUGGCAGUCAGAGGCGAUGAAGGGCGUGCUAAUCUGCGAUAAGCGCCGGUAAGGUGAUAUGAACCGUUAUAACCGGCGAUACCCGAAUGGGGAAACCCAGUGUGACUCGUCACACUAUCAUUAACUGAAUCCAUAGGUUAAUGAGGCGAACCGGGGGAACUGAAACAUCUAAGUACCCCGAGGAAAAGAAAUCAACCGAGAUUCCCCCAGUAGCGGCGAGCGAACGGGGAGGAGCCCAGAGCCUGAAUCAGCAUGUGUGUUAGUGGAAGCGUCUGGAAAGGCGCGCGAUACAGGGUGACAGCCCCGUACACAAAAGCGCAUGUGCUGUGAGCUCGAUGAGUAGGGCGGGACACGUGGUAUCCUGUCUGAAUAUGGGGGGACCAUCCUCCAAGGCUAAAUACUCCUGACUGACCGAUAGUGAACCAGUACCGUGAGGGAAAGGCGAAAAGAACCCCGGCGAGGGGAGUGAAAAAGAACCUGAAACCGUGUACGUACAAGCAGUGGGAGCACAGGUUUACCUGUGUGACUGCGUACCUUUUGUAUAAUGGGUCAGCGACUUAUAUUCUGUAGCAAGGUUAACCGAAUAGGGGAGCCGGAGGGAAACCGAGUCUUAAUUGGGCGUUAAGUUGCAGGGUAUAGACCCGAAACCCGGUGAUCUAGCCAUGGGCAGGUUGAAGGUUGGGUAACACUAACUGGAGGACCGAACCGACUAAUGUUGAAAAAUUAGCGGAUGACCUGUGGCUGGGGGUGAAAGGCCAAUCAAACCGGGAGAUAGCUGGUUCUCCCCGAAAGCUAUUUAGGUAGCGCCUCGUGAAUUCAUCUCCGGGGGUAGAGCACUGUUUCGGCUAGGGGGCCAUCCCGGCUUACCAACCCGAUGCAAACUGCGAAUACCGGAGAAUGUUAUCACGGGAGACACACGGCGGGUGCUAACGUCCGUCGUGAAGAGGGAAACAACCCAGACCGCCAGCUAAGGUCCCAAAGUCAUGGUUAAGUGGGAAACGAUGUGGGAAGGCCCAGACAGCCAGGAUGUUGGCUUAGAAGCAGCCAUCAUUUAAAGAAAGCGUAAUAGCUCACUGGUCGAGUCGGCCUGCGCGGAAGAUGUAACGGGGCUAAACCAUGCACCGAAGCUGCGGCAGCGACACUGUGUGUUGUUGGGUAGGGGAGCGUUCUGUAAGCCUGCGAAGGUGGCCUGUGAGGGUUGCUGGAGGUAUCAGAAGUGCGAAUGCUGACAUAAGUAACGAUAAAGCGGGUGAAAAGCCCGCUCGCCGGAAGACCAAGGGUUCCUGUCCAACGUUAAUCGGGGCAGGGUGAGUCGACCCCUAAGGCGAGGCCGAAAGGCGUAGUCGAUGGGAAACGGGUUAAUAUUCCCGUACUUGGUGUUACUGCGAAGGGGGGACGGAGAAGGCUAUGUUGGCCGGGCGACGGUUGUCCCGGUUUAAGCGUGUAGGUGUGUGUUCCAGGUAAAUCCGGUUCACUUUAACACUGAGGCGUGACGACGAGGCACUACGGUGCUGAAGCAACAAAUGCCCUGCUUCCAGGAAAAGCCUCUAAGCAUCAGGUAACAUCAAAUCGUACCCCAAACCGACACAGGUGGUCAGGUAGAGAAUACCAAGGCGCUUGAGAGAACUCGGGUGAAGGAACUAGGCAAAAUGGUGCCGUAACUUCGGGAGAAGGCACGCUGACACGUAGGUGAAGUGAUUUACUCAUGGAGCUGAAGUCAGUCGAAGAUACCAGCUGGCUGCAACUGUUUAUUAAAAACACAGCACUGUGCAAACACGAAAGUGGACGUAUACGGUGUGACGCCUGCCCGGUGCCGGAAGGUUAAUUGAUGGGGUCAGCGCAAGCGAAGCUCCUGAUCGAAGCCCCGGUAAACGGCGGCCGUAACUAUAACGGUCCUAAGGUAGCGAAAUUCCUUGUCGGGUAAGUUCCGACCUGCACGAAUGGCGUAAUGAUGGCCAGGCUGUCUCCACCCGAGACUCAGUGAAAUUGAACUCGCUGUGAAGAUGCAGUGUACCCGCGGCAAGACGGAAAGACCCCGUGAACCUUUACUAUAGCUUGACACUGAACAUUGAGCCUUGAUGUGUAGGAUAGGUGGGAGGCUUUGAAGUGUGGACGCCAGUCUGCAUGGAGCCGACCUUGAAAUACCACCCUUUAAUGUUUGAUGUUCUAACGUGGACCCGUUACCCGGGUUGCGGACAGUGUCUGGUGGGUAGUUUGACUGGGGCGGUCUCCUCCUAAAGAGUAACGGAGGAGCACGAAGGUUGGCUAAUCCUGGUCGGACAUCAGGAGGUUAGUGCAAUGGCAUAAGCCAGCUUGACUGCGAGCGUGACGGCGCGAGCAGGUGCGAAAGCAGGUCAUAGUGAUCCGGUGGUUCUGAAUGGAAGGGCCAUCGCUCAACGGAUAAAAGGUACUCCGGGGAUAACAGGCUGAUACCGCCCAAGAGUUCAUAUCGACGGCGGUGUUUGGCACCUCGAUGUCGGCUCAUCACAUCCUGGGGCUGAAGUAGGUCCCAAGGGUAUGGCUGUUCGCCAUUUAAAGUGGUACGCGAGCUGGGUUUAGAACGUCGUGAGACAGUUCGGUCCCUAUCUGCCGUGGGCGCUGGAGAACUGAGGGGGGCUGCUCCUAGUACGAGAGGACCGGAGUGGACGCAUCACUGGUGUUCGGGUUGUCAUGCCAAUGGCACUGCCCGGUAGCUAAAUGCGGAAGAGAUAAGUGCUGAAAGCAUCUAAGCACGAAACUUGCCCCGAGAUGAGUUCUCCCUGAGACUUAAAGUCUCCUGAAGGAACGUUGAAGACGACGACGUUGAUAGGCCGGGUGUGUAAGCGCAGCGAUGCGUUGAGCUAACCGGUACUAAUGAACCGUGAGGCUUAACCUUACAACGCCGAAG
Molecule: ribosomal RNA, 2928 nt
Filed under: Salmonella enterica subsp. enterica serovar Enteritidis
Lineage: Bacteria; Pseudomonadati; Pseudomonadota; Gammaproteobacteria; Enterobacterales; Enterobacteriaceae
Also listed under: 84 other names
Description: bacterial LSU rRNA
Rfam family: Bacterial large subunit ribosomal RNA
Source: RNAcentral